This 624-nucleotide ribosomal RNA is filed under the name uncultured bacterium. RNAcentral describes it as "bacterial SSU rRNA". It matches the Rfam family "Bacterial small subunit ribosomal RNA", at positions 120 to 741 of the family's 1533-position model. The record is from RNAcentral.
UCCAACCUGCCCAUCACUUGGGGAUAACCUUGCGAAAGUAAGACUAAUACCCAAUGACGUCUCUAGAAGACAUCUGAAAGAGAUUAAAGAUUUAUCGGUGAUGGAUGGGGAUGCGUCUGAUUAGCUUGUUGGCGGGGUAACGGCCCACCAAGGCGACGAUCAGUAGGGGUUCUGAGAGGAAGGUCCCCCACAUUGGAACUGAGACACGGUCCAAACUCCUACGGGAGGCAGCAGUGAGGAAUAUUGGUCAAUGGGCGAGAGCCUGAACCAGCCAAGUAGCGUGCAGGAUGACGGCCCUAUGGGUUGUAAACUGCUUUUAUAAGGGAAUAAAGUGAGUCUCGUGAGGCUUUUUGUAUGUACCUUAUGAAUAAGGACCGGCUAAUUCCGUGCCAGCAGCCGCGGUAAUACGGAAGGUCCGGGCGUUAUCCGGAUUUAUUGGGUUUAAAGGGAGCGUAGGCCGGAGAUUAAGCGUGUUGUGAAAUGUAGACGCUCAACGUCUGCACUGCAGCGCGAACUGGUUUCCUUGAGUACGCACAAAGUGGGCGGAAUUCGUGGUGUAGCGGUGAAAAUGCUUAGAUAUCACGAAGAACUCCGAUUGCGAAGGCAGCUCACUGGAGCGCAACU